RNAcentral lists this ribosomal RNA (374 nucleotides) under uncultured organism. Its description in RNAcentral is "partial 16S ribosomal RNA". It matches the Rfam family "Bacterial small subunit ribosomal RNA", at positions 527 to 896 of the family's 1533-position model. The record is from RNAcentral.
GUAGGUGGCAAGCGUUGUCCGGAAUUAUUGGGCGUAAAGCGCGCGCAGGCGGUUCUUUAAGUCUGAUGUGAAAGCCCACGGCUCAACCGUGGAGGGUCAUUGGAAACUGGAGAACUUGAGUACAGAAGAGGAAAGCGGGAUUCCACGUGUAGCGGUGAAAUGCGUAGAGAUGUGGAGGAACACCAGUGGCGAAGGCGGCUUUCUGGUCUGUAACUGACGCUGAGGCGCGAAAGCGUGGGGAGCAAACAGGGAUUAGAUACCCUGGUAGUCCACGCCGUAAACGAUGAGCGCUAAGUGUUAGGGGGGUUUCCGCCCCCUUAGUGCUGCAGCUAACGCAUUAAGCACUCCGCCUGGGGAGUACGGCCGCAAGGCUG